RNAcentral lists this ribosomal RNA (119 nucleotides) under Pteropus alecto (black flying fox). The record is from RNAcentral. Lineage: Eukaryota; Metazoa; Chordata; Mammalia; Chiroptera; Pteropodidae.
UCUUAAGGCCAUGCCACCCUGAAUGUGCCCGAUCUCAUCUGAUCUUGGAAGCUAAGCAGGGUCCGGCCUGGUUAGUACUUGGAUAGGAGACCACCUAGGAAUACCAGGUGCUAUAGGUA